Vicia faba (fava bean) is the source of this 261-nucleotide non-coding RNA. The record is from the annotation of a GenBank genome assembly. NCBI's taxonomy places the organism in Eukaryota, Viridiplantae, Streptophyta, Magnoliopsida, Fabales, Fabaceae.
AUGGUGUGCAAACGAAAAUCGCGGAGGCGUGAGUUCCGAUUAGAGAUAAAUGAUGGAUCAACGAUGAUGUGUUUUUGUGGUGGAGUCGUGAGCAGAAAUAUGCGGUGUUGUGUGGUGAACUCGUGGUGUCACACGGUGGUCUGGCACGGUGGCCAGUUGGUGGUCCGUGCGAGACAUUUUGGCGCGAGGAAUCUUGAUAAAUUUCUCUUCUCCUCUAUUUUUCUUUUUGCUUCUCUUUUAUCUCAUUGUUGCCUUUUUUGA